RNAcentral lists this ribosomal RNA (254 nucleotides) under uncultured bacterium. Its description in RNAcentral is "partial 16S ribosomal RNA". It matches the Rfam family "Bacterial small subunit ribosomal RNA", at positions 524 to 776 of the family's 1533-position model. The record is from RNAcentral.
GACGUAGGGCGCGAGCGUUGUCCGGAUUUAUUGGGCGUAAAGAGCUCGUAGGCGGCUUGUCGCGUCGACUGUGAAAACCCGCGGCUCAACCGUGUGGUCUGCAGUCGAUACGGGCAGGCUAGAGUUCGGUAGGGGAGACUGGAAUUCCUGGUGUAGCGGUGAAAUGCGCAGAUAUCAGGAAGAACACCAAUGGCGAAAGCAGCUCUCUGGGACGGUACUGACGCUGAGACGCGAAAGCGUGGGGAGCGAACAGG